GAGAUUGAGAUAGUAUCGAAUUGAAGCUCUUACAGAGCCAAUUCAGAUCGUUAUCAAAAAAUUUCAUUGGUGGGUAGAGUGGAAGCAGGGAAUAACUUCAGAGAGUUCAACAACAACAAAAUCAACGAGCGCGGCACGCGCGCUAAGUCAACUUCUAGUAGUAAUAACAGGGGAGACUCCAAACGCGUUUAUAUGCAAUCAGCUGAUCGGCUUAGUGCGACUCUUAGCACACUCAUACUUUUUCAAUAUUUAAUUUUUCAAAAUCUGUAAUACUUUUCAAUAAUUUUUUUUUGCUACAACGUUAUUAGGGUAAACGCUAUCAUCUGUCAUUUAAAAGUGAUAAACUCGAAAUACUACCUCAACAUUAUUUAGUAUUGCCAUUGAAAUACCAUUUCCCAAUUCCCAUGUUAUCUUUCAAAAACACUACAUCUCCUAGGGUUCGCAAGUUUACCACCAAAUGUCUCGUCAGUAUCGUUCAGUUGCCAAUGGGUUCAUUUUUAGUUUUGUUUUGUUAAACAAGGCAUUUUACACUAUUAUCAUGCUAAUAUACACAAUAUCUAUUAAUUUCUCCAAUCAGAUAGUAUGACAUAAUGAAAUAAAGAUUGAUGACUUGGUACGGUCAAGUAAAAUGAAGUUCAGCAUGCAUAUCAUAUAAAAUUUGCAUAGAUAGUAAUCUCUUAACCUUAAAUUAGCCUCCGGCAGACAUUUUUAAAACUUAACUUGUAGAACAACUGAAAAACAGUUAGAUGAGUCUAAAGGUCUUAGCAAAUUUGAACCGUUGAUUUUCUACAAGGGGUCCGUGGGCAGAAAGCGAUCGCAACCGAUGCUCGAAGCGCGUAGCGGCCAGGCGGACCGCGGCUACCUAGGCCGAGAAGCGAGCAUCCUAUCGCGAGCCGUUCUACCGAUGACACUGCCGAGAACCAAUUCCCACAGCCUCAGCUUAUCCAAGACUUCGCCGGAGCUUAAAUUCGACGUGGAGCUUGGCGAACGCGUUCGUACUGACACCGAUAACGAUGACGAUGAAGACGACGGUGCGACGACGAUGACAUCAAUGAGUCCUGUUGAUGCGUUGUACUUCACUAUAUAAAUGCAAAUAAUGCAGAUAAUACAUUAUAUUAUGCGCAGCUCAGCGCUCAGCAUGUGUGUGAUAUUUGUGUGAUAUUCUUAAGCCAAGUAAGAUUGGCAGUAUUUUGUCUCAUGUAAUAAAAGUGAGACCAGCAGAGAAAAUCAAAGAACCCGAAUGAGCGAGUACGCACACUGCCUAAUACACUAUUAUAUUACAUUUGACGCGUACACGUUAAAACCUAGAUAGUGAGAACGUAGAAAUAAUUGCUAAGCAAAGAAUAAUGGUAUACUUAUGCAUCAACUAGCUCACAGUCGUACAACUGCCAAAAGAGCAUGAAAUGCGAACAUAAUUCAUCUGAACGUCGAUACGUACACCUAUACGCAUACAUGUAAGUAAGUAUACGACGAAGCGUUAGAAAAGCUACAAAAUUAAAUGAAUUUUAUAUUUUCCUUCUUA
Molecule: long non-coding RNA, 1522 nt
Organism: Nasonia vitripennis (jewel wasp)
Lineage: Eukaryota; Metazoa; Arthropoda; Insecta; Hymenoptera; Pteromalidae
Exons: 2
Source: RefSeq, a predicted model, not a curated record